GUCGCCGCUGCGGGUUGCUAGCGGAGUCGCGCGUCGGGAGCUACGUAGGGCAGGGAAGGCAUGGCUUCUGUUUUCGUCCAAUGAGAAGGGGCCAGCGGUGGCGGUCGGGCCAGGUCCGGGGCCUGGGGACGCCGAGGCGGCCGCGGAGGAGCGCCGCGUCAAGGUCUCCAGCCUGCCCUACAGUGUGGAUGCGCUCGUGUCGGACAAGAAGCCGCCCAAGGAGGCAUCCCCAGUGCCGGCCAAAAGCGCCUCUUCCGGGGCCACCCUGCGGCUACUGCUGCUGCCGGGGCACGGCGCUCGGGAAGCGCACAGCCCCGGGCCGCUGAUCAAGCCCUUCGAGACCGCCUCGGUCAAGUGGGAAAACUCCCUAAGACGGAGCGGCGUGGAUGCAGGAACCCUGCUGAUAAUUCGCCGCCGCCAAGACACGUGAGCCCUACCACCUGCACCCUGAGAAAACACAAGACCAAUCCGAAGCCGCGCACAGCCUUUACCACGUCCCAGCUCCUCGCUCUGGAGGGCAAGUUGCUCCAGAAACAGUACCUCUCCAUUGCAGAGGGUGCGGACUUCUCCAGCUCUCCGAACCUCACGGAGACUCAGGUCAAAAUCUUGUUCCAGAACCGAAGGGCCAAGACGAAAAGACUGCAGGAGUCAGAACUGGAAAAGCUGAAAAUGGCUGCAAAACCUAUGCUACCCUCCAGCUUCAGUCUCCCUUUCCCCAUCAGCUCGCCCCUGCAGGCAGCGUCCAUAUACGCAGCAUCCUACCCGUUCCAUAGACCUGUGCUUCCCAUCCCGCCCGUGGGACUCUAUGCCACGCCAGUGGGAUAUGGCAUGUACCACCUGUCCUAAGGAAGACCAGAUCAAUAGACUCCAUGAUGGAUGUUUGUUUCAAAGGGUUUCCUCUCCCUCUCCAAGAAGGCAGGACCAGCCAAUACUCCUGUUCUGCAAACCCUGAGUGCACCACCCUAAGCGGCUAGGCCGGCAGGGCCACACGACACAGCUGAAGUUUGUUCUUUAGGCGGAGGCACCAAGCCUUGUUUUCUUGGUGUAAUCUUCCAGGUGCCCCCUUCUCCUUUCACAAAGAUUGGCUCUGAUGGUUUUUAUGUAUAAAUAUAUAUAUAAUAAAAUAUAAUACAUUUGUAUACAGUAGAUGUAAAAAUUCAAAUUAUUUUAAAAGGCAAAAUUUAUAUACAUAUGUGCUUUUUUCCUAUAUGUCACCUUCUUAAAGAGACUGUGUAAGUCCAUUUGUUGUGUUUUCUUAAAGAGGGAGACAAAUUAUUUGCAAAACUUGCUAAAGUCAAUGAUUUUGAUGGGAUGAUUGACUUCUGCUUAUGGAAAACAAAUAUUAGAAUUGGACAUAAUGCACAUAGAAAGUAUUAGAUAUGGAGAGGUUUUUCAAAGUGAAGGGGACACAUCACAUUUCUGCAUUUUACUUGCAUUAAAAGAAACCUUUUUAUAUACUACCAUAUUUGUUCCUAUCUCUCCCCACGCCCACCCCCCCCCCACACACACAUUUUUACAGUUUUACCUUUUUGAAGAAUUUUUUUUUUGUAAGACCAAUAACCGGGAUGAGAAGAAUCCUGAGAAUGCCUGGAGGUGAGGUAGAAAAUUAGAAAUACUUCCUAAUUCUUCUCAAGGCUGUUGCUUUACUUCAUUUCAGAUAAUUGGAGAGUAAAAAGUUAAAGCCUGUUGGGAGGAGUUGAUGGUUUCUGAGAAAUACUAGGUACUUUCAUCCUCACAGAUUGCAAAGAUUAUUUGGGUGGGGGGGUACAGUAAUUUUCUGCUUAAAAAAUGAGUACCUUGUAACCAUUACCUGUAUGCUAAAUAUUCUUGAACAAUUGGUAGAUCCAGAAAGAAAAAAAAUUAUGCUUUCUCUGUGUGUGUACCUGCUGUAUAUGCUAAACUUAUUAGAAAAUUUUAUAUACUUUUUAACAUGUCCAGGGCAGAAGAUAAAGCCAUGUUUUGACUUGGUGAAAAUGGAGUUGCCAAACAGCCCAUUAAGCUCCCUGGUAUUUCACCUUCCUCUCCAUCUCUCCCAUCCCUCCAGUAUGCCUUUACCCCUUUGAAAGGGUGCCUUGUACAAUUGUAUAUAUUUUAUUGAAGAGUUAUUAUAUCUUAUUCUGAAUUAAAUUAAACAUGUUUUAUUGCAAAAAAAAGAAGAGAAA
Homo sapiens (human) is the source of this 2162-nucleotide RNA transcript. It is a transcript of the gene named msh homeobox 2 pseudogene 1, with no coding region annotated. Lineage: Eukaryota; Metazoa; Chordata; Mammalia; Primates; Hominidae. The record is from RefSeq and is marked provisional. The transcript has a single exon.